This is a long non-coding RNA of Lathyrus oleraceus (garden pea), 1123 nucleotides long. RefSeq lists it as uncharacterized. The record is from RefSeq and is a predicted model, not a curated record. The transcript is spliced from 2 exons. NCBI's taxonomy places the organism in Eukaryota, Viridiplantae, Streptophyta, Magnoliopsida, Fabales, Fabaceae.
CUUAAGAGAAUGGUGGAAACGUGACUCAGCAGGAGAGUACGUGUACAACUGACCAUUAUGGAACACAUUUUUCACGUGCCAAAAUCUAGAUUUUAUGAAAAUACAAACGUGAGGCAGAGUGGCAUCCCUCCAUUGAGCUCACUCCCGCUUCCUCCAUGUCGAAGGUCGCCUCCGGCGACGAUGGAGCUUCAAUGACCAAAUAAAACAUAUCACCUCCUAUAGUUUAAAGUCUUGAGCUCUAAAAUCACGGUGAAAUAGCCUAAAUCUUUAAGAAUAACAUAAAUUUAAGGUAACAAUCGAAAAACCCUAGAAAAUCAAGUGGACAUUAAAUCGUGCUCUCUCGAAAUCAAAGCCCAAGGGGUUAGGGCUUUGAUUCCCCUAAUUGAACCUCACAUCUUGAUAAAUUCUACACAAUGCCCUAAUGAAGAUGAAAGAAGAACUUACUGGAGCAAUGCCGAAGUCAGGAGAAUCGUAUGCUUUGUGUUAUGUUAAAAGUUAAGCAUGGCGUAUGCUUUGGUGAUGAACUUGGUGUGUUUCAUUUAAAACAAGGGCAAGGCUAUGUAGACGAGGAAGCUUCCAAUUGGUGUUCAGUUAAAAAUGUGCAGGGUUCUGCUAGUUGAAAUUGGAGGGCGCAAGUUGAACUUGGUUUUGCUCUGUUAUGUAAUUUAUUUCAGACAAAAAAUGAAAUUUGCACUGUUAUGUUUGUAGGUUUGAUGAUUUUUUUUGCAAGACUGUGUUGAUAUGAGCUGUUAUGGAAUAUCAUUUUACCUUGUUAGAAGCAAGUGAAUGAUUUAUGGAUUGUUGCUUUGAGUUGUUGGGAUUGUCUAUUGAAUGUCAUGGAUAAUGGGAAUGUGUGAAAUUGACUAGAGACUUAGGAUUUCUCAAAUGGUUGAAUAUUGUAAUUGUAUGAAAUGGUGUGGUUGGUUUAAUGUGUAAUGAAAAGUUAAUUGAUUUUGAAUGUAUCUUGAAUUUGAACUGAAUGGAUUAAUGGUUAUUGGAUGGAAUGUGUGUAAUGAAUUUGUAGGAUGGUGUAUUGUAUAGGUUUGCAAUGGAAAGUUAUUGAAUGUUAAGAUUGUUAUGAAAAGUUAAUUGAAUGAAGGUUUGAAUGGUUUAUGGAGUUUUA